RNAcentral lists this ribosomal RNA (596 nucleotides) under Petrarctus rugosus. RNAcentral's name for it is "partial 12S ribosomal RNA". Lineage: Eukaryota; Metazoa; Arthropoda; Malacostraca; Decapoda; Scyllaridae. The record is from RNAcentral.
GUUAUACUAAAGGGCUGAAUGAAAAUUAUUUAGGUUUAAGUAGUUUGUUGAAUAAAAAAUUAAUAUUUACUAUUAACUAGCGGAUUGAUGGGUGAAAUUUGUUCGAUGGUAGUCUAGUUGUUAGUUGUUUUGAUUUUGUAAUGAAGCUGCUAAGGUCUGGGCAUAGACCAGGAUUAGAUACCCUGUUAUACCAGGCUUGAAAUAAUAGUAAUCUUGAUUAGUAAUAAUAAAUUAGUUUGAAAUUCAAAGGGUUUGGCGGUAUUUUAGUCUAGUUAGAGGAACCUGUUUUAUAAAUGAUAAUCCGCGUAAUAUCUUUCUUGCUUUGGUUUGAGCUAGUAUACCAUCAUUGUCAGAUAAUUUUAUUUGCCGAAGAAAUUAUUGUAAUUAAUUUGUUUUUAAAUAUAUUAGAUCACGGUGCUGCUAAUGAGCAAGUGAAAAAUGGGUUACAAUAAUCUUAAUUUAUUACGGAUACGUUAAAUGAAGUUUACGUUGAAGGUGGAUUUAAUAGUAACAUUGAUUUAAUAUGUAUUUGUGAGAUUAGCUCUAAAAUAUGUACAUAUCGCCCGUCGCUUUCAUUUUAAGUGAGAUAAGUCGUA